Dipodomys ordii (Ord's kangaroo rat) is the source of this 72-nucleotide non-coding RNA. The record is from Rfam. Lineage: Eukaryota; Metazoa; Chordata; Mammalia; Rodentia; Heteromyidae.
GGGAAGUUGGCUCAGUUGUAGAGUGCUUGCCUUGCAUGCAUGAGGCCCUGGGUUCAAUUCCUCAACACCACA